This 496-nucleotide ribosomal RNA is filed under the name uncultured bacterium. RNAcentral describes it as "partial 16S ribosomal RNA". It matches the Rfam family "Bacterial small subunit ribosomal RNA", at positions 28 to 506 of the family's 1533-position model. The record is from RNAcentral.
GACGAACGCUGGCGGCGUGCCUAAUACAUGCAAGUUGAGCGCUGAAGGUUGGUACUUGUACCAACUGGAUGAGCAGCGAACGGGUGAGUAACGCGUGGGGAAUCUGCCUUUGAGCGGGGGACAACAUUUGGAAACGAAUGCUAAUGCCGCAUAAAAACUUUAAACACAAGUUUUAAGUUUGAAAGAUGCAGUUGCAUCACUCAAAGAUGAUCCCGCGUUGUAUUAGCUAGUUGGUGAGGUAAAGGCUCACCAAGGCGAUGAUACAUAGCCGACCUGAGAGGGUGAUCGGCCACAUUGGGACUGAGACACGGCCCAAACUCCUACGGGAGGCAGCAGUAGGGAAUCUUCGGCAAUGGACGAAAGUCUGACCGAGCAACGCCGCGUGAGUGAAGAAGGUUUUCGGAUCGUAAAACUCUGUUGGUAGAGAAGAACGUUGGUGAGAGUGGAAAGCUCAUCAAGUGACGGUAACUACCCAGAAAGGGACGGCUAACUACGG